Molecule: ribosomal RNA, 428 nt
Filed under: uncultured fungus
Lineage: Eukaryota; Fungi
Description: eukaryotic LSU rRNA
Rfam family: Eukaryotic large subunit ribosomal RNA
Source: RNAcentral
GACCUCAAAUCAGGUAGGACUACCCGCUGAACUUAAGCAUAUCAAUAAGCGGAGGAAAAGAAACUAACAAGGAUUCCCCUAGUAACUGCGAGUGAAGCGGGAAAAGCUCAAGUUUAAAAUCUGACGGUCUUUUGGUCGUCCGAGUUGUAAUCUAGAGAAGUGUUAUCCGCGUUGGACCGUGUACAAGUCUCCUGGAAUGGAGCGUCAUAGAGGGUGAGAAUCCCGUCUUUGACACGGACUACCAGUGCUUUGUGAUGCGCUCUCAAAGAGUCGAGUUGUUUGGGAAUGCAGCUCAAAAUGGGUGGUAAAUUCCAUCUAAAGCUAAAUAUUGGCGAGAGACCGAUAGCGAACAAGUACCGUGAGGGAAAGAUGAAAAGAACUUUGGAAAGAGAGUUAAACAGUACGUGAAAUUGCUGAAAGGGAAACGC